CCUGGCGGCGAGCGGCGGACGGGUGAGUAUAUAUCGGAAUGUAUCCUAUAGUGGGGGAUACCGUAUCGAAAGUUACGGCUAAUACCGCAUAAAGAUCUCAAAGGAUGAAAGUGGGGGGUCGCAAGACCUCAUCGCUAAUUGGAGCCAGGCCGAUAUCUGAUUAGCUAGUUGGUCGGGGGUAAAAGCCUACCAAGGCGACGAUCAGUAGCUGGUUUGAGAGAACGACCAGCCACACUGGAACUGAGACACGGUCCAGACUCCUACGGGAGGCAGCAGUGGGGAAUUUUGGACAAUGGGGG
This 299-nucleotide ribosomal RNA is filed under the name uncultured bacterium. RNAcentral's name for it is "partial 16S ribosomal RNA". It matches the Rfam family "Bacterial small subunit ribosomal RNA", at positions 84 to 377 of the family's 1533-position model. The record is from RNAcentral.